Molecule: non-coding RNA, 117 nt
Filed under: Gorilla gorilla gorilla (western lowland gorilla)
Lineage: Eukaryota; Metazoa; Chordata; Mammalia; Primates; Hominidae
Source: Rfam by way of RNAcentral
GCCAGGUGUGGUGGCUCACGCCUGUAAUCCCAACACUUUGGGAGGCUGAGGUGGGUGCAUCACCUGAGGUCAGGAGUUCAAGACCAGCCUGGCCAACAAGGUGAAACCCCAUCUCUA